RNAcentral lists this ribosomal RNA (445 nucleotides) under uncultured prokaryote. Its description in RNAcentral is "bacterial SSU rRNA". It matches the Rfam family "Bacterial small subunit ribosomal RNA", at positions 338 to 774 of the family's 1533-position model. The record is from RNAcentral.
CCAACGGGGGGCUGCAGUGGGGAAUAUUGCGCAAUGGGCGAAAGCCUGACGCAGCGACGCCGCGUGAGGGAAGAAGGCCUUCGGGUCGUAAACCUCUGUCUAGAGGGAAGAAACCAUUGAGGUCGAACAGGCCUCUUUGCUGACGGUACCUCUGAAGGAAGCACCGGCUAACUCCGUGCCAGCAGCCGCGGUAAUCCGGAGGGUGCGAGCGUUAAUCGGAAUCACUGGGCGUAAAGCGCACGUAGGCGGUGUCGUAAGUCGGAUGUGAAAGCCCUCGGCGCAACCGGGGAACUGCAUUAGAUACUGCGAUGCUUGAGUGCCGGAGAGGGUGGCGGAAUUCCAGGUGUAGGAGUGAAAUCCGUAGAUAUCUGGAGGAACACCAGUGGCGAAGGCGGCCACCUGGCCGGCAACUGACGCUGAGGGACGAAAGCGUGGGGAUCAAACA